UCUUUUAAUCAAAAUAAUUGGAUCAAUUAACCAUAAAUUUAAGUACCAAAAAAAUUAAAAGUUAAUUAAAUUUUAAAGUCACCCCAACCAAAUAAUAAAGUAUAUAAAAUAUAAUAUUCUUAAUAAUGUUUACAACUAUAAUAUUAAACUCUAUAGGGUCUUCUCGUCUUAUAAAAACAUUUAAGCUUUUUAACUUAAAAAUAAAAUUCAUUAUAAAUAAAAUAAACAAAGUUACUUUCUCAUCCAACCAUUCAUACAAGUUCCUAAUUAAGAAACUAAUGAUUACGCUACCUUCGUACAGUUAAAAUACCGCAGCCAUUGAAAUAAUCAUUGGGCAGGUUAAACCUUAUAGAAUUAACAAAAGGCCAUGUUUUUGUUAAACAGGCGA
This 388-nucleotide ribosomal RNA is filed under the name Phaenonotum laevicolle complex sp. MF1115. Its description in RNAcentral is "partial 16S ribosomal RNA". The record is from RNAcentral. Lineage: Eukaryota; Metazoa; Arthropoda; Insecta; Coleoptera; Hydrophilidae.